UACGGAGGGGGCUAGCGUUGUUCGGAAUUACUGGGCGUAGAGCGCACGUAGGCGGUCCAGAAAGUUGGAGGUGAAAUCCCAGGGCUCAACCUUGGAACUGCCUUCAAAACUCCUGAUCUUGAGUUCGGGAGAGGUGGAUGGAAUUCCGAGUGUAGAGGUGAAAUUCGUAGAUAUUCGGAGGAACACCAGUGGCGAAGGCGGCCCACUGGCUCGAUACUGACGCUGAGGUGCGAAAGCGUGGGGAGCAAACAGG
This 253-nucleotide ribosomal RNA is filed under the name uncultured Paracoccaceae bacterium. RNAcentral's name for it is "uncultured Rhodobacteraceae bacterium partial 16S ribosomal RNA". It matches the Rfam family "Bacterial small subunit ribosomal RNA", at positions 524 to 776 of the family's 1533-position model. The record is from RNAcentral. Lineage: Bacteria; Pseudomonadati; Pseudomonadota; Alphaproteobacteria; Rhodobacterales; Paracoccaceae.